AGGAGGAACAACCCCAGUGGCAGCAGCCAGCUCCAGAGCCCUGGAGUCAGCUCCCGCAGUAACUACAGAGCUCUCUGUCUGCAUGGCCUGGAGGCUCUGGGGCGGG
RNAcentral lists this microRNA precursor (106 nucleotides) under Canis lupus familiaris (dog). RNAcentral's name for it is "mir-8834 microRNA precursor family". It matches the Rfam family "mir-8834 microRNA precursor family". The record is from Rfam by way of RNAcentral. Lineage: Eukaryota; Metazoa; Chordata; Mammalia; Carnivora; Canidae. RNAcentral also lists the same sequence under 1 other name.